GAUGAAGAACGCAGCGAAAUGCGAUAAGUAAUGUGAAUUGCAGAAUUCAGUGAAUCAUCGAAUCUUUGAACGCACAUUGCGCCCGCCAGUAUUCUGGCGAGCAUGCCUGUUCGAGCGUCAUUUCAACCAUCAAGCCCCAGGCUUGUGUUGGAGCCCUGCGGCUGCCGCAGCCUCCCAAAACCAGUGGCGGGCUCGCUAUCACACCGAGUGCAGUAGUUUACUCUUCGCUCAGGGCGUGUGGCGGGUGCUAGCCGUGAAACCCCCAACUUCUCAAGGUUGACCUCGGUUCAGGUAGGAAUACCCGCUGAACUUAAGCAUAUCAAUAAGCGAGGA
This 333-nucleotide unclassified non-coding RNA is filed under the name soil metagenome. RNAcentral's name for it is "partial contains 5.8S ribosomal RNA, internal transcribed spacer 2, and large subunit ribosomal RNA". The stretch from base 1 to 120 matches the Rfam family "5.8S ribosomal RNA", at positions 35 to 154 of the family's 154-position model. The record is from RNAcentral.